RNAcentral lists this ribosomal RNA (433 nucleotides) under uncultured bacterium. RNAcentral describes it as "partial 16S ribosomal RNA". It matches the Rfam family "Bacterial small subunit ribosomal RNA", at positions 29 to 507 of the family's 1533-position model. The record is from RNAcentral.
AACGAACGCUGGCGGCAGGCCUAACACAUGCAAGUCGAGCGGACCCUUCGGGGUUAGCGGCGGACGGGUGAGUAACGCGUGGGAAUAUGCCCUUCUCUACGGAAUCGUCCUGGGAAACUUGGGGUAAUACCGUAUACGCUCUUUGGGGGAAAGAUUUAUCGGGGAAGGAUUAGCCCGCGUUGGAUUAGGUAGUUGGUGGGGUAAUGGCCUACCAAGCCGACGAUCCAUAGCUGGUUUGAGAGGAUGAUCAGCCACACUGGGACUGAGACACGGCCCAGACUCCUACGGGAGGCAGCAGUGGGGAAUCUUAGACAAUGGGGGCAACCCUGAUCUAGCCAUGCCGCGUGAGUGAUGAAGGCCUUAGGGUUGUAAAGCUCUUUCAGCUGGGAAGAUAAUGACGGUACCAGCAGAAGAAGCCCCGGCUAACUCCGUG